Molecule: transfer RNA, 74 nt
Filed under: Candidatus Gottesmanbacteria bacterium
Lineage: Bacteria; Candidatus Gottesmaniibacteriota
Description: tRNA-Arg
Rfam family: tRNA
About the family: Transfer RNA (tRNA) molecules are approximately 80 nucleotides in length. Their secondary structure includes four short double-helical elements and three loops (D, anti-codon, and T loops). Further hydrogen bonds mediate the characteristic L-shaped molecular structure. tRNAs have two regions of fundamental functional importance: the anti-codon, which is responsible for specific mRNA codon recognition, and the 3' end, to which the tRNAs corresponding amino acid is attached (by aminoacyl-tRNA synthetases). tRNAs cope with the degeneracy of the genetic code in two manners: having more than one tRNA (with a specific anti-codon) for a particular amino acid; and 'wobble' base-pairing, i.e. permitting non-standard base-pairing at the 3rd anti-codon position.
Source: RNAcentral
GCCUCCAUAGCUCAAUUGGAUAGAGCAGGCGCGUUCUAAGCGUCCGGUUGGGGGUUCGAGUCCCUCUGGAGGCG